ACGAACGCUGGCGGCGUGCUUAACACAUGCAGGUCGAACGGUGAAGCCCUUCGGGGUGGAUCAGUGGCGAACGGGUGAGUAACACGUGAGCAACCUGCCCCUGGCUCUGGGACAACCACUGGAAACGGUGGCUAAUACCGGAUACGACCCGCCUCGGCAUCGAGUGUGGGUGGAAAGUUUUUCGGCUGGGGAUGGGCUCGCGGCCUAUCAGCUUGUUGGUGAGGUGAAGGCUCACCAAGGCGACGACGGGUAGCCGGCCUGAGAGGGCGACCGGCCACACUGGGACUGAGACACGGCCCAGACUCCUACGGGAGGCAGCAGUGGGGAAUAUUGCACAAUGGGCGAAAGCCUGAUGCAGCGACGCCGCGUGAGGGAUGACGGCCUUCGGGUUGUAAACCUCUUUCAGCUCCGAAGAAGCGAAAGUGACGGUAGGAGCAGAAGAAGCACCGGCUAACUACGUG
This 461-nucleotide ribosomal RNA is filed under the name uncultured bacterium. RNAcentral describes it as "partial 16S ribosomal RNA". It matches the Rfam family "Bacterial small subunit ribosomal RNA", at positions 29 to 507 of the family's 1533-position model. The record is from RNAcentral.